ACUCAAAUGAAUAGACGGGGACCCGCACAAGCGGUGGAGCAUGUGGUUUAAUUCGAGGCUACGCGAAGAACCUUACCCAGGCUUGACAUGUAGUUGCCAGCCCAUGAAAGUGGGUGUCUCCGCAAGGAGCGAUUACACAGGUGCUGCAUGGCUGUCGUCAGCUCGUGCUGUGAAGUGUUGGGUUAAGUCCCGCAACGAGCGCAACCUUUAUUCUUAGUUGCCAUCAUUCAGUUGGGCACUCUAGGAAGACUGCCGGUGAUAAACUGGAGGAAGGAGGAGACGACGUCAAGUCAGUAUGGCCCUUAUGCCUGGGGCUACACACGUGCUACAAUGGCCGCCACAAUGGGCUGCGAUCCCGCGAGGGGGAGCUAAUCCCAAAAAAACGGCCCCAGUUCAGAUCGCAGGCUGCAACUCGCCUGCGUGAAGUCGGAAUCGCUAGUAACGGUACAUCAGCAUCGGUACCGUGAAUACGUUCCCGGGUCUUGUACACACCGCCCGU
This 499-nucleotide ribosomal RNA is filed under the name uncultured bacterium. RNAcentral's name for it is "partial 16S ribosomal RNA". It matches the Rfam family "Bacterial small subunit ribosomal RNA", at positions 899 to 1397 of the family's 1533-position model. The record is from RNAcentral.